UUAAAAGCCAUUAGUAUUACUAAAUAAUAUAUAAUAACAUAUAUGGUAAGUUAAUACAUAUAAUAUAUGGUAAGUUACUACAUGUCUAAAUCUAGAAAAUUAUGCAAGAAUAUAUGCAAUCCAUAUAGUCUAUAUUAUAGAAAUAAAAGUUCAACUAAUCCUUUACUAGAAGUAAAGAUUUAGUUGAACAAUUAUUUCUAUAAUAUAGACUAAAUGGAUUAUUUAUAGUCUUGUUUAACUUUAUAUUUUUGACAUAUGACAUGUAGUAACAUACCAUAUUAGUUUAAAUCAGUUGUAAAGUUAAAAAUGUUAACAUCUUUGAUAGAUAUAUUUGUUUAGGUUAAUUACAGCUAAGUUUACAUGGCUAGUUAAUAUGCUUUUAUAAAUUGCAAUUUUUAUUAAUUUCCAAAUUAAACAUGUGGCAUCCAAUAUCAUAAACUAAGAUUAUACUGGUGUGUUUAUAUUAUUUUAGAAUUUUUUGUUUUAGACACAUGGCAUUUGUUAUCCCACUAAUUUGCUGCUUUAGAGGCAUGGCAUUUAGUGUCACAUUAAUUUACUGUUUUAGACACGUGGCAUGUGGUAUCCCACUGAGUUGACAGCAUGGUGUCCGAUUUAAAGUGCGAACCUGUGUACGAGUAACAACAGUAUU
Molecule: non-coding RNA, 649 nt
Organism: Hydra vulgaris (swiftwater hydra)
Lineage: Eukaryota; Metazoa; Cnidaria; Hydrozoa; Anthoathecata; Hydridae
Source: RefSeq, a predicted model, not a curated record